AUAAACGAAUUUAACGUGCCUGGCCUGCCUGAACUCAGUUUGUCCAACCCAUAAACGAAUUUAACGUGCCUGGCUUACUGACUCGUUAAACUCGUCAACACUAAUUGGAACAACUUUGAUCUCUUAAUUUUCAUAAUAUUGUACUCGUACAUCUACAACAACAAAAAUCUCAAAUUUCAAAUGUAAUGUUAUAUAAAGUGUUAAAAGGGCAAAUUACGAUCACCCCCUUGAGGUAAAGUUAAAUUACGAAAAAAUCACUCAUGUUUGUGUUUACAACCAUCCCCUCAACUAUGUAUUGUCUUACACGCCACUCUUGCGGCGUCAAAUUUAUACUGAAUGAGGAAUUUUUUCGUAAGACAAUGCAUAAUUGAGGGGCUGGUUGUAAUUACCCAAACAUGAGGAGUUUUUUCGUAAUUUGACCUUUCCUCAGGGGUAGCUGUAAUUUGCACCAAAGUGAAGAAAACAAACAUAUCAUUUGAUACUUCUAACUGCUAGAAUAAAUUAGGUUUAAACUUAACUAAAAACUAUUUUUACCUCUUGCAGAACAUAAAUACAGAGUAAAUACCACAAUGAAAUUAAUUAUCUCUAUACUAAUUAAAACCUUACAUACAUGGUUUAGUAGAACCACUUAUACCAAAACUAUUUAACUUACUUACCUAAACCCGCUCCGAACGGAUCAGUUUCGUAUCUAAAACAGCUAAACUAAAAUUGCAAGACAUCGAAAAUAAAAACGAGACGAAAAUAUUAAGACGAGACGCCUUAACGUACAAGAUCUAACUUUGUCCUAAAUAUGGAUCUUUUAACGAAAAAUUAUUACGAAAAGAGAGUCUUGUAGAUCUUCAUAUCAAUCAACCAUUACGUACCAUAUAUAUUUAGAAGAAGUUUUCUCUGGUGAUUAUUGCCAAAUAAAUAAUUAAGCACAUUUAUUUAUUAAUAAAAAUAAAAGCAAGCACACGAAUAAUUCUCAUACAAAAGUCAUCACUACACUCCCAGAGGUAAUUAAUAAAUAACAGCUAAAUACAAUUUUACUAUUUUGAUAUUUUGUUUGGAAUAAUAUUAGCCAAUAUGUAUGCCUCAGUGCAGAAUAUCUUAUCUGAUCAGUCUUCCUUGGUUCCGGCUCCAGCUUCGGCUUUGGCUUCGGCUGGGGGUGGGGGUGGGGCUUCUUUUACAGUAGUAGGUUUAGCAUCGGCUUGAUCGGCUGCAGCCGCGGCUUGUUUGACCCUAGCUUUGCCCUUCUUGGGCUUGAGGAAGCAGAAACAAGAGCAACAAGGACACUGGAAUAAGAACUUCAUUCCUUUCAAGAUGCCCUUUUUUUUUUCCUCUGAUAUAAAAUCCAAUCACCAAUUUAUUCUGACAGCAAAUGUGUGUAAUAUAAUAAUGGUAAUUAUGUAAUCUACUUUUUCAAAAAAGAAAUAAUAGUGUAUAAAAUAAUAAUAAUAUGAUUUUUUUUUGAUCAUUGGAUUCCAUUUGAGUCGCUUUCGGAUGCCAACUAAUUCAAGAAAGAAGACAGCAAUAUAUGAUGGUCGGGAUAAAAAGGAAAACCCCACAUGAAAUUAAAUUGAGGUCACUCUAGCUAAGGUUAU
RNAcentral lists this long non-coding RNA (1583 nucleotides) under Erythranthe guttata (spotted monkey flower). Its description in RNAcentral is "long non-coding RNA (EGUT_LNC000183)". Lineage: Eukaryota; Viridiplantae; Streptophyta; Magnoliopsida; Lamiales; Phrymaceae. The record is from RNAcentral.